ACAUUUUAUGAUAAAAAUAUAAGGUUCUAAUUGAAAUAUUUUUAAACAUUUCUCUCUUGUUCUUUUUAAGGUAAAAAGAAAAUGGCAUACCCGGCUAUAUUUGAGAGCGGGAACAAAUGUCGGAUGUGGCGUCGUUUUAGGCUGAACAGUUAUAGACUCCCACAACGACACCGUUUCAAAGACGCAGCAGGGCCAGCCGUCUGUAGCAUGCCCUAAAAGCGUAAUUGGGAGAAGAACGAGAGUUCCUUCAUGUGGUGGGGAUAAGGAAUGCUGUUUGCUUAAAUCCAAAAAGACUUUUGCUUUCUUUCCAGGUAAUAUUAUUUCACUCAAUUGCUGCUUCAGGUUUCCUGAUUUCUGCAGAAAACUAAUAGUUGUCGUUGUCUAUAAAUAUCAUGUACUGUAAUUUGACAAGGAGCCAGGCAUUUCCCUUGGCUGUUAGAUUUUCUCUGCGACCCAGAUGCAUAAGAAAUUUCCACACCUCAAAACCCAAAUCUUUACCAAUUGGGUUCUCUCCAAAACUGUCGUUAAAUCCUAUCUGCCAUAGCUACGAAGAAAUUUCUGGCGGUUUUGGUUAUAGAAGUAAUAGAUUGUUUAACUUAGUGACAUCCACAAAAUUUGCAGUGCGCUUUCACUCUAAAUCUGUGGAAGUCAGCAGUAUAGCAAAACUCAGAAGAGUCUCAAAAGGGUUUAGGCUUAGAGGUUAUUUGAAUUGCCCAAGUUCUANNNNN
RNAcentral lists this long non-coding RNA (728 nucleotides) under Carica papaya (papaya). RNAcentral's name for it is "long non-coding RNA (CPAP_LNC009479)". Lineage: Eukaryota; Viridiplantae; Streptophyta; Magnoliopsida; Brassicales; Caricaceae. The record is from RNAcentral.